UACAGAGGGUGCAAGCGUUAAUCGGAAUUACUGGGCGUAAAGCGUGCGUAGACGGUUAUGUAAGUCAGAUGUGAAAGCCCCGGGCUUAACCUGGGAAUUGCAUUUGAGACUGCAUAGCUAGGAUGCGGAAGAGGGAAGUGGAAUUUCCGGUGUAGCGGUGAAAUGCGUAGAUAUCGGAAGGAACAUCAGUGGCGAAAGCGACUUCCUGGUCCAGCAUCGACGUUCAGGCACGAAAGCGUGGGGAGCAAACAGG
RNAcentral lists this ribosomal RNA (253 nucleotides) under uncultured bacterium. RNAcentral describes it as "partial 16S ribosomal RNA". It matches the Rfam family "Bacterial small subunit ribosomal RNA", at positions 524 to 776 of the family's 1533-position model. The record is from RNAcentral.